AAUCGACUGAUUCCGAUCGAUCCGGAUCGUAAAUCGGAUAGGAAUCAUUAAAAUCCGAUUCCGGCACUGAUUCCAAUUUUAGCCCGGUCCGAGUUUUCAACCCAACUUCCGGGGGCCCAGGCAGGCCAUCACCGUUUUUGGUCGCGUUCUCACACUAGGGUUUAAUAUAAAACCACUGAGAAGCGCCAAACUUCUCUUUUACCUUUUGCAGCUGCCUCUACGGAUCGACAAGAGUUCUGAAGGAAAGCAGCGGAAGGGUUUGCUAACACAGUCACCAUGAGAGCUAAGUGGAAGAAGAAGCGCAUGAGGAGGUUGAAGAGAAAGCGCCGAAAGAUGAGACAGCGAUCGAAGUAGAACUCAAGGUCUGCUCAUGGCAGUUUAACUCUCCGGAGUCCUUUUGUUUCAUUUUUUGUUUUUUUAAUCUUUUUGUCUGUUUUCAGCCCCUUCUUCUUUAACCGGGUUGGAAUGGAUAGAAACCGUGGCUAGUGUAUUUGGUUUUUAGCACUUUAAUGCGUUUGGUGGAUUAGUAUUUUCUUCUGCUUAUAACUCUGUUAGGUAAGAAUAUGGAUUUAUCAUAAUUGUGCUCCAACUUUCACUAGUACAUGCUAAUGGUGAUGUUUACGAUUGCACAAGAUGAAUGCAAGUGAUUUGCUUAUCAGCA
This is a long non-coding RNA of Macadamia integrifolia, 661 nucleotides long. RefSeq lists it as uncharacterized. The transcript has 2 exons. The record is from RefSeq and is a predicted model, not a curated record. Lineage: Eukaryota; Viridiplantae; Streptophyta; Magnoliopsida; Proteales; Proteaceae.